UUGAACGCUGGCGGCAGGCCUCACACAUGCAAGUCGAGCGGAUGAAGGGAGCUUGCUCCUGGAUUCAGCGGCGGACGGGUGAGUAAUGCCUAGGAAUCUGCCUGGUAGUGGGGGAUAACGUCCGGAAACGGGCGCUAAUACCGCAUACGUCCUGAGGGAGAAAGUGGGGGAUCUUCGGACCUCACGCUAUCAGAUGAGCCUAGGUCGGAUUAGCUAGUUGGUGGGGUAAAGGCCUACCAAGGCGACGAUCUGUAACUGGUCUGAGAGGAUGAUCAGUCACACUGGAACUGAGACACGGUCCAGACUCCUACGGGAGGCAGCAGUGGGGAAUAUUGGACAAUGGGCGAAAGCCUGAUCCAGCCAUGCCGCGUGUGUGAAGAAGGUCUUCGGAUUGUAAAGCACUUUAAGUUGGGAGGAAGGGCAGUAAGUUAAUACCUUGCUGUUUUGACGUUACCAACAGAAUAAGCACCGGCUAACUUCGUG
This 483-nucleotide ribosomal RNA is filed under the name uncultured bacterium. Its description in RNAcentral is "partial 16S ribosomal RNA". It matches the Rfam family "Bacterial small subunit ribosomal RNA", at positions 30 to 507 of the family's 1533-position model. The record is from RNAcentral.